This 329-nucleotide unclassified non-coding RNA is filed under the name soil metagenome. Its description in RNAcentral is "partial contains 5.8S ribosomal RNA, internal transcribed spacer 2, and large subunit ribosomal RNA". The stretch from base 1 to 120 matches the Rfam family "5.8S ribosomal RNA", at positions 35 to 154 of the family's 154-position model. The record is from RNAcentral.
GAUGAAGAACGCAGCGAAAUGCGAUAAGUAGUGUGAAUUGCAGAAUUCAGUGAAUCAUCGAAUCUUUGAACGCACAUUGCGCCCCUUGGUAUCCCGAGGGGCAUGCCUGUUCGAGCGUCAUUUCACCACUCAAGCCUGGCUUGGUGUUGGGCGACGUCCCCUUUGGGGACGCGCCUCGAAACGCUCGGCGGCGUGGCACCGGCUUUAAGCGUAGCAGAAUCUUUCGCUUUGGAAGUCGGGGCCCCGUCUGCGGGAAGACCUACUCGCAAGGUUGACCUCGGAUCAGGCAGGGAUACCCGCUGAACUUAAGCAUAUCAAUAAGCGGAGGA